UGGUGUUGUCUUUUCGAUAUGCAU
This 24-nucleotide non-coding RNA is filed under the name Arabidopsis thaliana (thale cress). Lineage: Eukaryota; Viridiplantae; Streptophyta; Magnoliopsida; Brassicales; Brassicaceae. The record is from RNAcentral.